GAUCAUGGCUCAGGAUGAACGCUGGCGGCGUGCCUAACACAUGCAAGUCGAGCGGAGAUAAGUUGAAGCCUAGCGAUUCUUAUCUUAGCGGCGGAUGGGUGAGUAACACGUGGGUAACCUGCCCUGUACUGGGGGGAUAACAGCUGGAAACGGCUGUUAAUACCGCAUAUGCGCACGGAGCCGCAUGGCCCUGGGCGGAAAGAUUCAUCGGUACAGGAUGGGCCCGCGCCGGAUUAACUUGUUGGCGGGGUAACGGCCCACCAAGGUGAUGAUCCGUAGCCGACCUGAGAGGGUGACCGGCCACAUUGGGACUGAGACACGGCCCAAACUCCUACGGGAGGCAGCAGUGGGGGAUAUUGCACAAUGGGGAAACCCUGAUGCAGCGACGCCGCGUGAAGGAAGAAGUAUUUCGGUAUGUAAACUUCUAUCAGCGGGGAAGAAGAUGACGGUACCCGCACAAGAAGCCCCGGCUAACUACGUGCCAGCCGCCGC
RNAcentral lists this ribosomal RNA (492 nucleotides) under uncultured bacterium. RNAcentral's name for it is "bacterial SSU rRNA". It matches the Rfam family "Bacterial small subunit ribosomal RNA", at positions 15 to 518 of the family's 1533-position model. The record is from RNAcentral.